This 546-nucleotide ribosomal RNA is filed under the name Bacillus cereus. RNAcentral's name for it is "bacterial SSU rRNA". It matches the Rfam family "Bacterial small subunit ribosomal RNA", at positions 11 to 537 of the family's 1533-position model. Lineage: Bacteria; Bacillati; Bacillota; Bacilli; Caryophanales; Bacillaceae. The record is from RNAcentral.
GUUUGAUCCUGGCUCAGGAUGAACGCUGGCGGCGUGCCUAAUACAUGCAAGUCGAGCGAAUGGAUUGAGAGCUUGCUCUCAAGAAGUUAGCGGCGGACGGGUGAGUAACACGUGGGUAACCUGCCCAUAAGACUGGGAUAACUCCGGGAAACCGGGGCUAAUACCGGAUAACAUUUUGAACCGCAUGGUUCGAAAUUGAAAGGCGGCUUCGGCUGUCACUUAUGGAUGGACCCGCGUCGCAUUAGCUAGUUGGUGAGGUAACGGCUCACCAAGGCAACGAUGCGUAGCCGACCUGAGAGGGUGAUCGGCCACACUGGGACUGAGACACGGCCCAGACUCCUACGGGAGGCAGCAGUAGGGAAUCUUCCCCAAUGGACGAAAGUCUGACGGAGCAACGCCGCGUGAGUGAUGAAGGCUUUCGGGUCGUAAAACUCUGUUGUUAGGGAAGAACAAGUGCUAGUUGAAUAAGCUGGCACCUUGACGGUACCUAACCAGAAAGCCACGGCUAACUACGUGCCAGCAGCCGCGGUUAUCCGUAGGUGGCAA